CGCUCCCCACCCCGGAGGCUCGGGCCGCGGCCACGGGCCCGAAGCCGGGGGCUCGGGUUUGAGAGCGACCCCGGCCCGCGGCGUCCCCUCGUCCGCCGCCGGGUGGCGUCUGCCCUUGAGAGCCUCUCUCUGCCCGCGGCUCUGGGACGGGCCCCCCAGGCCGGCACCGCGCGGCCGCCUCCUGCCCGCCGCCCGCGCGCCGCCGGACCCGACCCAGGGCAUCUGGGCGCUGAGGAUGCUCUCGUCUCUGCGGCGUCCCCCUGCGAAGUCUGGGGCCUGAGACGUACGGCGUCUGGGGGAGCUUCUGUACCGCGGUGACUGUUGAUAAAAAUGUAAACUGCUGUGUUGAGGCGUAUUGCCCAAAGUGACCUAAAUGGUGGUAGAAGUCAUUGCGAAGGAAGAAAAGCUCACACCAGAUUUUUGCUCUCCAGAUUUCUGUACCGUCCCAUUUCUUUGCACAGUUUUCUUUUUUUUACCUUUGGGGAAUUUAACUCUUUAAAGACUUUUUUCAAGUUCCGUUGAUCUCGUAUACAUCGUGUAUUUUUUUUUAACUUAUCUUAGUUUUUCUGCUUCUUAAAACCAGAUCUCCCCAACAUUUACUCUAAGUACUAUCAAAAAAAAAAAAGGGGGGGGGACUUAUUUCUCCUACAAAGUAUGGAUUAAAUAGGAAAUGCAAAAAACUUUAGCGGAAUCCAUGCUGAUUAGAAAUCUGGCAGUGAGAAUCAUGGGAAGGGAGAGAGCCUGUCCUAGGAACUACAUCAGAAAACUGAAGGAGACGAGCAGUGAAAACUCUGUACGACAUAUUUUUUCUCUUCUGAAAUAUCUAAGACAUUUUAGUUACAAAUUCAGAAGAAUGCAUGCUUAAUGGCCUAGGAUUUGUGGGCGGUAAGGAAAAUGGACUUGAAAAUGGUAAAGGCAAAACAACAUGGGAAGAGAGCUGAAACUCGAGAUGACUGUGGAGACAUUAUCAACUCUGCAGGCAACCCUUCCAUGGAAAUUCAAACAGCUUUAAGAGGACCCAGGAGGGCAGAACUGCUCUUGAAAUGCUGAAAUGGGGAAAACAGCUUGAGAAUGUUAUGGGGCAAGACAGACUGACGCAAAAGAUAUUUUCCUCUCCACUCACUUGGUGCCAACCCAAGGCACAGUCGGGAAAACAGUGCACAGGGUGCUGUGAAGCGAUACCACAUGGCACAGGUGAGCUAAGAACAGAGAACGCAGAAGUGAGUCAGACACAAGUCACACCCUUGCGAAUUCAUCCUCAAGACAAACUGCCACUGGCAAUAAAGGGAAAAUUUCUGUUACUGUUUCAUAGUAAACUAAUUUAUGCUGUGAAUAUCUGCAUUCAGUGCAGAGCACAUACGAUGUUCUUAGUAUAAAAGUAGACGAGAAGUGGAAUUUAGUUCUCAAACCCAAGCUGUCUCUUAAGUUACUGAUUUCUGUUGCAAGCCAAAGGUAAGAAACUUACUGUCCGGGAAACAUUAACAGUUUAGGGUACAUACUGAAGAAAAGAGAGGGCUCUGCUAGUCAGGCCUUUAUUUAAAAGCAUGAUAAAAAGUUACGAGGGAGAGUAUAGUUUUUGUGUAUGUGACAAUUUUUCUAUAUUACAGUUUUCUAACAAAAAUGAUAUCUUUGGGGAAUUCCCUGGUGGUCCAGUGGUUAGGACUCCAUGCUUUCGUUUCAGGGGAUGCAGGUUUGAUCCCUGGUUGGGGAACUAAGGUCACACAAGCCCACACGGCAUGGCUGAAAAAAAAAAAAAUGUCUUCCAUUGCAAAAAUAGAUGAGGGCUUCACACUGAAGAAAGCCUAUAUCCUGGGUCUUUGAUUGUCAAUCCUAUUAACAAAUGCCUUGAAGCCACCUCAAGUUCCCAGUUCUUAGUUCUUCUUUUCCAUGACUAUAAAGAUGGAGAUGAUAAA
Hippopotamus amphibius kiboko is the source of this 1913-nucleotide long non-coding RNA. RefSeq lists it as uncharacterized. The record is from RefSeq and is a predicted model, not a curated record. Lineage: Eukaryota; Metazoa; Chordata; Mammalia; Artiodactyla; Hippopotamidae. The transcript has 3 exons.